AGUGAACGCUGGCGGUAGGCCUAACACAUGCAAGUCGAACGGCAGCACAGUAAGAGCUUGCUCUUACGGGUGGCGAGUGGCGGACGGGUGAGGAAUACAUCGGAAUCUACUUUUUCGUGGGGGAUAACGUAGGGAAACUUACGCUAAUACCGCAUACGACCUACGGGUGAAAGCAGGGGAUCUUCGGACCUUUCGCGAUUGAAUGAGCCGAUGUCGGAUUAGCUAGUUGGCGGGGUAAAGGCCCACCAAGGCGACGAUCCGUAGCUGGUCUGAGAGGAUGAUCAGCCACACUGGAACUGAGACACGGUCCAGACUCCUACGGGAGGCAGCAGUGGGGAAUAUUGGACAAUGGGCGAAAGCCUGAUCCAGCAAUACCGCGUGGGUGAAGAAGGCCUUCGGGUUGUAAAGCCCUUUUGUUGGGAAAGAAAAGCAGCAGGUUAAUACACCGAUGUUCUGACGGUACCCAAAGAAUAAGCACCGGCUAACUUCGUG
RNAcentral lists this ribosomal RNA (492 nucleotides) under uncultured bacterium. RNAcentral describes it as "partial 16S ribosomal RNA". It matches the Rfam family "Bacterial small subunit ribosomal RNA", at positions 29 to 507 of the family's 1533-position model. The record is from RNAcentral.